RNAcentral lists this transfer RNA (72 nucleotides) under Ictidomys tridecemlineatus (thirteen-lined ground squirrel). RNAcentral describes it as "Spermophilus tridecemlineatus (thirteen-lined ground squirrel) tRNA". It matches the Rfam family "tRNA". Rfam says of the family: Transfer RNA (tRNA) molecules are approximately 80 nucleotides in length. Their secondary structure includes four short double-helical elements and three loops (D, anti-codon, and T loops). Lineage: Eukaryota; Metazoa; Chordata; Mammalia; Rodentia; Sciuridae. The record is from Rfam by way of RNAcentral. RNAcentral also lists the same sequence under 1 other name.
GGGGAUGUAGCUCAGUGGUAGAGUGCUUGCCUAGCAUGUAUGAGGCCCUGGGUUCAAUCCUUAGUACCACCA